Molecule: ribosomal RNA, 280 nt
Filed under: Catenibacterium mitsuokai DSM 15897
Lineage: Bacteria; Bacillati; Bacillota; Erysipelotrichia; Erysipelotrichales; Coprobacillaceae
Description: partial 16S ribosomal RNA
Rfam family: Bacterial small subunit ribosomal RNA
Source: RNAcentral
UAUGGUAAUUGUGCAGCAGCCGCGGUACUACGUAGGUGGCGAGCGUUAUCCGGAAUCAUUGGGCGUAAAGAGGGAGCAGGCGGCCGCAAGGGUCUGUGGUGAAAGACCGAAGCUAAACUUCGGUAAGCCAUGGAAACCGGGCGGCUAGAGUGCGGAAGAGGAUCGUGGAAUUCCAUGUGUAGCGGUGAAAUGCGUAGAUAUAUGGAGGAACACCAGUGGCGAAGGCGACGGUCUGGGCCGCAACUGACGCUCAUUCCCGAAAGCGUGGGGAGCAAAUAGG